Molecule: long non-coding RNA, 941 nt
Organism: Spodoptera frugiperda (fall armyworm)
Lineage: Eukaryota; Metazoa; Arthropoda; Insecta; Lepidoptera; Noctuidae
Exons: 2
Source: RefSeq, a predicted model, not a curated record
GUAUGUUUGUGUUCGAUCACCUCAGUAGCGGUCACGUAUUCGCAACCCGGUCGCAAACGGAAUCUCCGAGUGUCGCCUCGAGAGUCCGUUCGGUGCGCGAUGCGAGUUUGGCUCUGACGGGGGUCGGCGGUUGUAUGUGUUCGUUUUGUGUCGGGGUCUGUAGAGGCCAUACGUGUGGUUGCCGGAGGGUGACACACGGGAGAUCCGAGGGAUCUGAUCCAUGUGAUGGAUGUCAGCAAUGUGAUUGCUGGUCGGCUUGAGAGCCGGGGCACUAGGUGACUUGCUCGUGGACUCGAGUAAGGGCAUGCUAGGGGCCAUGUGAUGGAAGUCAGCAAUGUGAUUGCUGGUCGGCUAGAGAGCCGGGGCGCACUAGAUGUCUUACUCGGGAGUUUCUAGAGUUGUACUGAGUAGUUUGUAAUUUUUGUUGAUAAGAACGGCUGUGAUGCGUGAACCUAACAGUUUGAUGUUUUUGUAAUUGUGUGUGGAAUGUGGUCAGGAAUGACCGAGCUAUAUGAUACUUUGCGUGUAAUUUUCUGUCACAGAUGAGCUGUCACACGAGGACGUGUGCAAGCAGGAUGGCCGUGUCGGGAUCGAGGGUAGAAUUGAAACACAGGCGUCCACCCUCGGCGCUCGACGGAGUCAAGGAUUCAUCGGCUGAGCGGCGUGUUGAUCACUUCUCGUGCAGCAGCCGACCAGUGCGGUCGAAUAUUGAACCGUCGUGUGUUUCAACUGUAUACCUAGUCUGUAACCUGUUAGUUUGAUAUUGUAACAGUUAAUUAUCUUUCAUGUACUUUGUAACCAUGUUUGCACUUUGAGAGUGACUGAGACCUCUGAGUUUGUUUCGGCAUUUCUUCUCAGAGUAGUCGGUAGGAAAUGCCGGCCCCAUCAGUAGCUUAAGUAAAGUAACAGUGCAAUGUACAGAAUUAAACAAUAGUUCCAUA